CCCAGGGCGUUGCCCUGGGCUGGUAUGUCACGGCCCUUCAGGCCU
Molecule: non-coding RNA, 45 nt
Organism: Desulfobacteraceae bacterium 4572_87
Lineage: Bacteria; Pseudomonadati; Thermodesulfobacteriota; Desulfobacteria; Desulfobacterales; Desulfobacteraceae
Source: Rfam